This 549-nucleotide ribosomal RNA is filed under the name uncultured bacterium. RNAcentral describes it as "partial 16S ribosomal RNA". It matches the Rfam family "Bacterial small subunit ribosomal RNA", at positions 355 to 895 of the family's 1533-position model. The record is from RNAcentral.
UGGGGAAUUUUGGACAAUGGGCGCAAGCCUGAUCCAGCAAUGCCGCGUGCAGGAUGAAGGCCUUCGGGUUGUAAACUGCUUUUGUACGGAACGAAAAGCCUCUCUCUAAUACAGGGGGGUGAUGACGGUACCGUAAGAAUAAGCACCGGCUAACUACGUGCCAGCAGCCGCGGUAAUACGUAGGGUGCAAGCGUUAAUCGGAAUUACUGGGCGUAAAGCGUGCGCAGGCGGUUUUGUAAGACAGUGGUGAAAUCCCCGGGCUCAACCUGGGAACUGCCAUUGUGACUGCAAGGCUGGAGUGCGGCAGAGGGGGAUGGAAUUCCGCGUGUAGCAGUGAAAUGCGUAGAUAUGCGGAGGAACACCGAUGGCGAAGGCAAUCCCCGUGGGCCUGCACUGACGCUCAUGCACGAAAGCGUGGGGAGCAAACAGGAUUAGAUACCCUGGUAGUCCACGCCCUAAACGAUGUCAACUGGUUGUUGGGGAUUUAUUUCUUCAGUAACGAAGCUAACGCGUGAAGUUGACCGCCUGGGGGAGUACGGCCGCAAGGUU